GCUACUCUGGUGACGAGCGGCGGACGGGUGAGUAGUGCUUGGGAACAUGCCUUGAGGUGGGGGACAACAGUUGGAAACGACUGCUAAUACCGCAUAGUGUCUACGGACCAAAGGGGGCUUCGGCUCUCGCCUUUAUAUUGGCCCAAGUGGGAUUAUCUAUUUGGUGAGGUAAUGGCUCACCAAGGCGACGAUCCCUAUCUGGUUUGAGAGGAUGAUCACCCACACUGGGACUGAGACACGGCCCAGACUCCUACGGGAGGCAGCAGUGGGGAAUAUUGCACAAUGGGCGCAAGCCUGAUGCACCCAUGCCGCGUGUGUGAAAAAGGCCUUCGGGUUGUAAAGCACUUUCAGUCAGGAGGAAAGGUUAGUAGUUAAUACCUGCUAUCUGUGACGUUACUGACAGAAAAAGCACCGGCUAACUCCGUGCCAGCAGCCGCGGUAAUACGGAGGGUGCGAGCGUUAAUCGGAAUUACUGGGCGUAAAGCGUACGCAGGCGGUUUGUUAAGCGAGAUGUGAAAGCCCCGGGCUCAACCUGGGAACUGCAUUUCGAACUGGCAAACUAGAGUGUGAUAGAGGGUGGUAGAAUUUCAGGUGUAGCGGUGAUGUGCGUAGA
This 613-nucleotide ribosomal RNA is filed under the name Pseudoalteromonas nigrifaciens. RNAcentral's name for it is "bacterial SSU rRNA". It matches the Rfam family "Bacterial small subunit ribosomal RNA", at positions 79 to 694 of the family's 1533-position model. The record is from RNAcentral. Lineage: Bacteria; Pseudomonadati; Pseudomonadota; Gammaproteobacteria; Alteromonadales; Pseudoalteromonadaceae.